This 238-nucleotide unclassified non-coding RNA is filed under the name Malassezia dermatis. RNAcentral's name for it is "partial internal transcribed spacer region". The stretch from base 1 to 46 matches the Rfam family "Eukaryotic small subunit ribosomal RNA", at positions 1786 to 1831 of the family's 1831-position model. The record is from RNAcentral. Lineage: Eukaryota; Fungi; Basidiomycota; Malasseziomycetes; Malasseziales; Malasseziaceae.
AAGUCGUAACAAGGUUUCUGUAGGUGAACCUGCAGAAGGAUCAUUAGUGAAGAUUUGGGCCAGCCAUACGGACGCUACCGCGUCUCUGGCGCCCACCACUAUAUCCACACCAACCCCUGUGCACUGUGAUGGCGAAAGUCAUCGAACCAAAAAAACUCGUAUGGUUGUAUGUACGUGAAACUGUAGGCUUUGCCUACGAACUAUACACAACUUUCGACAACGGAUCUCUUGGUUCUCC